GACCUGGAUACAAAUGCAGUCCAACCAAUGGGAUUGUUUGUCCCGCCUUGUGUUUUCAUGUUUGGUUGCGCUGCUAAGGCUGCUUAGACCACACGCGCCAUAGCUGUACCUGUGGGGAAAACGUGGUAGCUGUUGGUAUCUGCUUGCUUAGCCGCCAGAUUUGGAUAGCCGAAGCUAAUUUUAUGAAUACGAAGUGCUUUGCACUGGUCAGGUUUUUUGAGUUGGAGAAAGGAGCCGAGACUCCCCGGAGAACUUUGGAUUACAGACUUGGUGGAAAUCCGCAGAAGAGGAAUAAUUUUCCAUUGCAAUGGAUGGCGAGCCACAGCCCAUUUGGAAUUGAAUCUUGAAGUCUGGUUGCCUGAACUGUGGUAGGACAAGACUGUGCAAACCAUACACCGAUCGUGGAUUGAACUCACACCAAUAACUCACCAGAUCACCAAACAGGCCUGAUCUGGAUCCUAUUGACACUUUAAAAGACCCGGGUCUAACAUUCGUUUCUUUUUUAUUUUGGGUAUCUGUGUAACGGAGUUAAAAAGACAUCUGAAAAACAUGCACUUACCUGGUCUUAAUUAUUAUUUUAAGUGUGAAUUUUAUCAUUUUUUUUGUUGUAUUUUAUUUUGAAAACCCAGAAACCGGAUCUCACUCUAGCGUUUAGAAGCUGCUAAGGCUUCCGCUCCUCACAGCGCGCGUUUCCACUGUGAGGGUAAGUUCUGUAAUGAAAGGCUCUGGCAUUUUUAUGGUUUCUGGUGUGAAUGUUGAUACAUAAGUUGUACAUGUCCAUGUAUAUAUGUUUAUAUUGAUGUUAGGAUGUUACUGUGUAACCGAAACAAAGGAUGGUUGCUGUUAAACAGUGUUUAUUGUAUUUAUGCUCUUUGGCAGUAAGCUUUUGUUAGCCCUCUAGUGGUUGCUGCGCAUAGCAGUAAAUGUGUUUGCAUUUACUGUUUUUCUGUGCUUUUUGUAAUGUUGUUUUACAUUAUAGGAGCUGCAAUUGUGGUACCAUCAGAAGACACCUGUUGAAUGUGUUUUAUGUCUUCUGCAGAGGGAGUGUUCGCCCAGGGCACCAAACAGGCUUGAGCUAAACUGGGCCGUGUACCACAUAAAAUCGUUUCGAGGUC
Long non-coding RNA from Oreochromis aureus, 1115 nucleotides. NCBI's taxonomy places the organism in Eukaryota, Metazoa, Chordata, Actinopteri, Cichliformes, Cichlidae. The record is from Ensembl.